RNAcentral lists this transfer RNA (61 nucleotides) under Mesocricetus auratus (golden hamster). It matches the Rfam family "tRNA", at positions 8 to 63 of the family's 71-position model. Rfam says of the family: Transfer RNA (tRNA) molecules are approximately 80 nucleotides in length. Their secondary structure includes four short double-helical elements and three loops (D, anti-codon, and T loops). Further hydrogen bonds mediate the characteristic L-shaped molecular structure. tRNAs have two regions of fundamental functional importance: the anti-codon, which is responsible for specific mRNA codon recognition, and the 3' end, to which the tRNAs corresponding amino acid is attached (by aminoacyl-tRNA synthetases). tRNAs cope with the degeneracy of the genetic code in two manners: having more than one tRNA (with a specific anti-codon) for a particular amino acid; and 'wobble' base-pairing, i.e. permitting non-standard base-pairing at the 3rd anti-codon position. Lineage: Eukaryota; Metazoa; Chordata; Mammalia; Rodentia; Cricetidae. The record is from Rfam by way of RNAcentral.
UGGCUCAGUGGUUAAGAGCACUGGUGGCUUCUCUUCCAGAGGACCUGGGUUCAAUUCCCAG